Molecule: long non-coding RNA, 949 nt
Organism: Gallus gallus (chicken)
Lineage: Eukaryota; Metazoa; Chordata; Aves; Galliformes; Phasianidae
Exons: 2
Source: RefSeq, a predicted model, not a curated record
GACCGUCUCGGCUCGUUCUCAUCUCAGACAGGAAGCAGAGCGGGGCAGCGCGGACCCACAGUCAGCUCUGUGCAAACAGGCGGUGGAAACUCCCAACAGAUCCGCCACAGAGGCUACUGCUUCCUUUUGAGCCUCCGUUGCCUGUGCUGAGCUCCUGAGGGCCAACCAGCAGCCUGGCGGGGAUGUCCUAGCAGCCAGACUUCUCUGGAUGUCAUGUUUCAGUUGAAACACAAUCAGAUGAGGUUUCCUGACUCCACAUCUGGAAUUUUGGUUUCACAGAUUAAAACAACUAAUCACAGUGUUUUAAAGAAUAAGCAUCUUGCUUAAAAAGCCUGGGGCUCAGCUCUGUGGUCAGACCUCAUGGACGUAGCAUCUAAAGGCCUGAAGUGCCACAGCUGAGGUACCACACUUGGGGUCCUGGAUGAUCCCAAACUGCCCAUGGAUGUGGGCUGUGGAUCAUCCUGCCUUGGGCACGGGAAUUCAAGUGGCCAGGCACCCAACUAAAGCCCUCAAACAGACUCUCAGUUUGGUAGCAGGCAGGGAAGGUGUCUAUGCCCAGGUGUGAAAUACUGAUCACACGAUAGAUAUGGUUAAGCUUCAAAGUCUCUACCUGGGGCACAUGCAGCAUAUUUAAUCCCAGCUUUUCCACUUUGUCCUAUUAUCUGGCACAGACAGUAACCCAAUACUUUGUGUCUGGACUCCGGUACCCACUGGAAUAAACAUGUGUUUCUUGUGCUGUUAUUCAUUUAAUACAUUGCAUAGCAUGGUAUUCCAACACACUCAUGCCUGAGGGGGAUUUCUGCAGGUGAGCGGGUCUCACUUGUAGAGGCCGUGACUCUAGGUGGAAGCCAAGGAUUGCAAAAUGUGGUCCUCAUAUAUAUUUAUGAAUGAAUCUUCUGUACUGCACAUGUUAACUGCAAAUAAAAUCCACAUCUGGUUUGUCACUUUC